AGUCUGGUGCCAGCAGCCGCGGUAAUUCCAGCUCCAAUAGCGUAUCUUCAUGUUGCUGCAGCUAAAACGCUCGUAGUCAAACCUUAGGGCAUUGAUUUUUGGUCGUUUCUUAUGAAAUUGUACUUUAGAUCGUGCCCUCAGUUCCAACUUGUUUUGGUUCUUUAUUGAGCCUUUGCGAUUUGGAAACGUUACUUCGAGAAAAUUAGAGUGUUCAAAGCAGGCUUUACGCCUUGAAUAAAUUAGCAUGGCACAAUAAAAUAGGACUUGGUUUCUAUUUUGUUGGUUUCUAGGAAUUAAGUAAUGAUUAAUAGGGGCGGUCGGGGGCGUUAAUAUUAAGCUGUCAGAGGUGAAAUUCUUGGAUUUGCUUAAGAUUAACUACUGCGAAAGCAUUCGCCAAGGACGCUUUCAUUGAUCAAGAACGAAAGUUUGGGGAUCGAAGAGGAUUAGAGACCCUCGUAGUCCAGACUGUAAAUGAUGCCAACUAGAGAUUGGUGGGUGUUUUUUGACCCCAUCAGCAUCUUCCGAGAAAUCAAAGUUUUUGGGUUCUGGGGGAAGUAUGGUCGCAAGACUUAAACUUAAAGAAAUUGACGGAAGGGCACCACCAGGUGUGGAGCCUGCGGCUUAAUUUGACUCAACACGGGAAAACUUACCAGGUCCAGACAUAGCAAGGAUUGACAGAUUGAGAGCUCUUUCUUGAUUCUAUGGGUGGUGGUGCAUGGCCGUUCUUAGUUGGUGGAGUGAUUUGUCUGCUUGAUUGCGAUAACGAACGAGACCUUAACCUGCUAAAUAGUGUGUUGGCACCUAGGUGCCAAUGCUCACUUCUUAACGGGACUGUGAAAGAAAAUUUCACGGAAGCAUGAGGCAAUAACAGGUCUGUGAUGCCCUUCGAUGUUCUGGGCCGCACGCGCGCUACACUGACACAGUCAACGAGUUUGUCCUUGGUCGAAAGGCUUGGGUAAUCUUUUCAAACUGUGUCGUGCUGGGGCUUGACAAUUGCAAUUAUUUGUCAUAAACGAGGAAUACCUAGUAAGCGCGAGUCAUCAGCUCGCGUUGAUUACGUCCCUGCCCUUUGUACACACCGCCCGUCGCUCCUACCGAUUGGAUGAUCCGGUGAAAUCUCCGGACUGUUGAGUAGAUGUCAUUUCGGUGACGACUACACAGCGGGAAGCUGAUUAAACCUUAUCAUCU
This 1188-nucleotide ribosomal RNA is filed under the name metagenome. RNAcentral's name for it is "bacterial SSU rRNA". It matches the Rfam family "Eukaryotic small subunit ribosomal RNA", at positions 558 to 1774 of the family's 1831-position model. The record is from RNAcentral.